This is a long non-coding RNA of Armigeres subalbatus, 862 nucleotides long. RefSeq lists it as uncharacterized. The record is from RefSeq and is a predicted model, not a curated record. NCBI's taxonomy places the organism in Eukaryota, Metazoa, Arthropoda, Insecta, Diptera, Culicidae. The transcript has 4 exons.
GCCAUUUUUAUUAGUUUCAAUCUUGGUUUCAAUCGCGAAAUAAUUUUAGAAAAAUCGAUGUAUUUAGUGAAAGAAAAUUCAUUACGGCUACCUAGUUGAAACGACAAAAGCUCCAAAUGUUGAAAACUGUAUCGGGACGGCAAUGCGGGCUUGGCAUUCGAUAGACCACUUGCCGUGCUAUGUAUUAUGUCCGAUUUGAAGCGUGGCGGGAAAUACACCUACCUGGAUCUGGAUACCGGCUCGUGAAACAUGAACACACGGUUUUAGUUGACGGAUAUGGAAUGAAAAUGGGGUCGAAUUUUCCCGAAUCUUCACCGACUAUCGACAGUCGAUUCAUGGAAUUUUUCAGCCCAGAUGGCGAGGUUUUAGGUGACACAAAUUGUGUUCGGAUGUACGAGCUCGCUGUGUGAUCUGAGCUCACUUUGAGGGAUCUAGCGUACGUCGUAAAACUCGAGGUAAAACUUGUGCCACGAAAAUUUCCAACAUUCCAUCGGCUGCUGGUUCAGACGGAAUGGUCCGCAUGUGGAAUGCCGUAAAAAUGGUCCAGUUCGUUAUCACCGUCAUCAUCCGUCAAAAAUGGUCCAGGCCAAGUAAUGAAACAACAGGGGCAGUACCACCAUAUGAGCUCCACCACAACCAAUCAUACUCAGCGCACCAGAAGUUCCUCAGCGAUGACAAGCGGCUUUGAAGCGCCUACGAAUGUCGAUAUCUCGUGCUGCUGUUAUCGCCGGGUUACAAACGGUGCAUGCUACCUACUGAAGGAACCAAAAAAUAGGAAAAAUAAGGAUCUGCGCUAAGCUACCGAUUUGGCGAAGAAAUAAUAUGUAUAUUUUUACGAAGAUUAUUAAACUUACAAAUCCUU